Molecule: ribosomal RNA, 368 nt
Filed under: uncultured Glomeromycotina
Lineage: Eukaryota; Fungi; Glomeromycota
Description: LSU rRNA
Source: RNAcentral
UUUGAAAGGGGAACGAUUGAAGUCAGUCGUACCGGCGGGCAAUCAGCCUUUCGGGUGUGAUUAUGUGGAGCGUGAGGAGCUAAUCACCUUCAUGCCUGCAUAUUCGUGCACUUUGGGUGUACUUGCUCGUGUGGUAGGUUAACAUCAAUUUUGAUCGUCAUAAAAUGGUUGGAGGAAUGUAGCUUCGAUCUCGUAUUGAAGUGUUAUAGCCUUUGGCAGAUGUGAUGAUUGGGAUUGAGGAUUGCAACGAACCCUUCGGGGCUACCUGUCUGAUCUCUGAGAGUUGCUCUGGUGCUGAAAGCUUGCUUAUGGUAUCAAAGUUGACGUUCAAUAGGUUAGAACGGGAUAAAUUCGUUAAGGUGACGUAA